ACCAAUUACAAUAUAUAUCGAAACAGAUUAUUACAAUAUUCAAAACAAAAUGCGGUAUAAUUGAAUUAAAAAUUUUAAUUAGUACAUAUAUCAAAGCAGGAAAUAGUACAAAAUGAAGGAAAACUUUAAAAUUGAAACAUUUUCCCAAUGAAAUUUUGAUGUCGCUGCUUCACCUUUGUUAUUGCAUUUCAGUAGCGGAAUCCAACGACAUCGAAGUUGUUGUAGGUGGCCUACGAAAUCGUUACGGUUUGUUGAAAGGAACAAAAUUGUGACUGAAAUGAGCUUAAUUGUUGUUAUAUGUCUGUUGGAGGAUGAAAACAAAACAGAGGUACUUAUGAUGCGUGUUUGAUGGGUGGUUCUCGAUGUUUCUUACUGUUGCAGCUGGAAGAGACAAUGAAGGUUUAUGUUGGAUGGUGUGCAUGUAUCGAAUGGAUGUGGUGAUACGACGAUGGUCAGAGUUGGUUUUGGCCGGAAAUGGGAGGUGGUAAUGAUGCAAGGUGGUUUGUUGGAAGUGAAGAUAGUGAUGGUUGGUGAAACCGGCGUGAAAAAUUACCGGGUUUGGGUGCAAUGGUGGUUAGGAUGAAUAAGUACUGAAGAUCAGUGAAAGCGGUGUGGAAGUUGUAUGAAGCACGAUUUUGAAGGUUGGUCGCAACAAGGUUGUUAGUUAUGUGAAGUACAGUUUUGAAGAGGAGAGAGAGCUUAUUGGUGGUAUUGGCCAUGUGGAUGGUGUUUGAUAAAGAGGAUGAUUCAUAUUGUGGUUUUGCGAUGACUUUCUUGGAGCUAAACGAUUUUGGUCAUUAAAGUUGGUAGUGGACGUGCAUUAUUCAUGGUGGUGGUGGUGUUAUAUGUGGUGGUUGAAG
RNAcentral lists this long non-coding RNA (860 nucleotides) under Lathyrus oleraceus (garden pea). Its description in RNAcentral is "Pisum sativum (pea) long non-coding RNA (PSAT_LNC019105)". The record is from RNAcentral. Lineage: Eukaryota; Viridiplantae; Streptophyta; Magnoliopsida; Fabales; Fabaceae.